This 253-nucleotide ribosomal RNA is filed under the name uncultured bacterium. RNAcentral's name for it is "partial 16S ribosomal RNA". It matches the Rfam family "Bacterial small subunit ribosomal RNA", at positions 524 to 776 of the family's 1533-position model. The record is from RNAcentral.
GACAGAGGGUGCAAACGUUGUUCGGAAUUACUGGGCGUAAAGCGUGUGUAGGCGGCCUCGCAAGUCGGAUGUGAAAGCCCCGGGCUCAACCCGGGAAGUGCACUCGAUACUGCUUGGCUAGAGUCUCGGAGAGGUUGGUGGAAUUCUCGGUGUAGAGGUGAAAUUCGUAGAUAUCGAGAGGAACACCGGUGGCGAAGGCGGCCAACUGGACGAAGACUGACGCUGAGAUACGAAAGCGUGGGGAGCAAACAGG